RNAcentral lists this ribosomal RNA (372 nucleotides) under uncultured organism. RNAcentral's name for it is "bacterial SSU rRNA". It matches the Rfam family "Bacterial small subunit ribosomal RNA", at positions 526 to 896 of the family's 1533-position model. The record is from RNAcentral.
CGUAGGGGGCUAGCGUUGUCCGGAUUUAUUGGGCGUAAAGAGCGUGUAGGCGGCCGGGUAAGUCCGGUGUGAAAACUCGAGGCUUAACCUCGAGAUGUCAUCGGAAACUAUUCGGCUAGAGUCCGGAAGAGGAGAGUGGAAUUCCUGGUGUAGCGGUGAAAUGCGCAGAUAUCAGGAAGAACACCCAUGGCGAAAGCAGCUCUCUGGGACGGUACUGACGCUGAGACGCGAAAGCGUGGGGAGCGAACAGGAUUAGAUACCCUGGUAGUCCACGCCGUAAACGAUGGGUGCUAGGUGUGGGCGGUGUCGACUCCGUCCGUGCCGAAGCUAACGCAUUAAGCACCCCGCCUGGGGAGUACGGCCGCAAGGCUA